CCUACGGGAGGCUGCAGUGAGGAAUAUUGGUCAAUGGCCGGAAGGCUGAACCAGCCAAGUCGCGUGAGGGACGACUGCCCUAUGGGUUGUAAACCUCUUUUAUAAGGGAAGAAUAAAUGCUACGUGUAGCAUGAUGCCUGUACCUUAUGAAUAAGCAUCGGCUAACUCCGUGCCAGCAGCCGCGGUAAUACGGAGGAUGCGAGCGUUAUCCGGAUUUAUUGGGUUUAAAGGGUGCGUAGGCGGUUUUUUAAGUUAGUGGUAAAACGUCGGGGCUUCACCUUGAAUUGCCAUUAAUACUGUAAGACUCGAGUUCAGACGAGGUAGGCGGAAUAAGUUAAGUAGCGGUGAAAUGCUUAGAUAUAACUUAGAACUCCGAUAGCGAAGGCAGCUUACCAGACUGCGACUGACGCUGAAGCACGAGAGCGUGGGUAGCGAACAGGAUUAGAUACCCGAGUAGUC
This 459-nucleotide ribosomal RNA is filed under the name uncultured bacterium. RNAcentral's name for it is "partial 16S ribosomal RNA". It matches the Rfam family "Bacterial small subunit ribosomal RNA", at positions 338 to 795 of the family's 1533-position model. The record is from RNAcentral.